GCUCUGGAUAAACUUCCAGCCUCAAACGGAAGGACACACUCCCACCGAGCCGCUGCCCCUGAGCCCAUUUGGCUCUGAUUGGCUGCAAGACUUGCGCCUUCAGGCUAGCCACUCAGAGGCGCCCACCAGUUCCCUCUUGCUUCUGAUUGGCUGAGAGGAGCGCAUGCUCAGACACACCAAGGGCCGCAAGCUCAGAGCUAGAACGGCCGUUAACUGCUUGGCGUCGUCAUGUGGUUUCUUUACAGACUCGUUGGUCUGUGACAGGUUUUAACCUACAGUAAUAUUUCUCCCCAAACAUUCCAAACUCUGUAAUAGUAAGCUGUGACUGCUAGACCGUGAGCUGGGAGGGAGCGAUACUGUUGGUGAUUGUCUUGAGCACAUCCCUAGCACAUAACCCACAAGAGGCCCUAGUAUGCAGAUGAGGAUGUGACAGUGAUUUUGGAGUUGCCUUCAACUUUGGGGGAACAGAAGAAACUGAAACACAAAACAAACUUAGAGAAGCUGAAAGAAGCUAAAGUAUUUAAAAACAUAUUAAAUGGGAAUCACUUCUUACCUUGAAAUGUUCUCAAAUGUCAUAGCACAAGAGAACCGCGGUGGCAUUGUGAAUAUAAGACCAAAAGAAGAUGGCAGCAACAGACCAUGGAACACGUCUGUACUGUUUUCCAGUCUCCACGGCCACCACCUGCCUCCACAGGCACCACCUAAGGAUUCUCAGAGCUGCAGGAAUGAGAGUUUUUUCAACUUUUAUCCUCAUGGUGACUCCCCAUGCAGUUUCUUGAGGGCUGUGGUAAACCAUUUCUCUGUAAUAAAAAUACCCAUGAUACUCUUUUCUCUACUGCCUCUUUGAAAUGUAAGAUGGCAGUAUUUAAAAAAAAAAGAUGGCAGUAUUAAAAUUGCUUAUAUUGAAUGUACUGUCAUUUCCAAAAUUCUUCACAUGGUCAAAUAAAAAUAUUCUCUUUGAAUAU
Molecule: long non-coding RNA, 965 nt
Organism: Bos taurus (domestic cattle)
Lineage: Eukaryota; Metazoa; Chordata; Mammalia; Artiodactyla; Bovidae
Source: Ensembl